Scylla paramamosain (green mud crab) is the source of this 1454-nucleotide long non-coding RNA. RefSeq lists it as uncharacterized. Lineage: Eukaryota; Metazoa; Arthropoda; Malacostraca; Decapoda; Portunidae. The record is from RefSeq and is a predicted model, not a curated record. The transcript has 3 exons.
UCCGCCAGCAGCAAACUUGACGUCAUGGGCCAGGGCAUGCAGCGGCGUGCAUUACGUGGGUAUGGUGACUGUGUGGCCUCUGAUGUAGAGGUGUGUGAGCUGCUGGACGAGAGAAGAGCAAACGAAAAGUAAACAUGGGAUUGCUGCCGCCUCAGGACACUAGGAGCAUUGCGGAAGCGCUGAGGAAGACAUCACAACCCUUGACACAGCGAACACAACUCAGUACUGAGGCUGGCACUGGCUUCUCCCAACACCUCACGUGGUCAUUGCAACAAAAGAAGACCUCUGUGGAAUAUUUCGUGCCCAUCCAUGUGAGAGCAGGACCGCAGAGAAGACCAGCCGGCUGCCAGUGAAGACUGAUAACUUCCUAGUAAGCAGGAUCCUCCCGGUCCCAGCGGAGGUGUGGGAAGCGAGACGUAACACCGGAGAGAAUAAUUAUGUUGGCGGGAAGCCGAGGCGGGAGGCGGCGGUUGGUGUGAAGGAGAAAAUCUUUAGACGGGAGAGAAUUUGGGAGCGAGAAGCGGGGGCGGGGUGCGAGCGUGCGUGUGUGUUGAAGAACAAGAGGCAGGGAUAUAGAGGGAAGACACACACACACACACACACACACACACACACACACACACACACACACACACACACACACACACACACACACACACACACACACACACACACACACACACAAGCAAGGCCUCUCCUUUUCCCCGCCGGCCUUAAGGAACCAUCAACUUAUUAGCCCAUGCAGUUUCCCUCCCCAAACUUUAUCUCUUCGGCAACUUAAUGGUCGAGUAACACGGGCGGGUGGCGGGCGGCGCUUAGACAAGAACCUUAUUCCCUUUGAUAUAACGAGCCUUCCUUAGUAGUCCUGCGCCUCCUUUUGUUCCUCUUUUAUAAGGGAAUGCUCUUGAGAGGCUCUCCUGUGUGUGUGUGUGUGUGUGUGUGUGUGUGUGUGUGAAUAGAUAUUCAAAGCAUUCAUAAAUUACACGUACAUGCAUACAAAUUAAUGUAAACUAAUUCAAUAGCUAAUCAGUAUCUUUACUCUUUCAUCCCUCUCACUGACAGACCCUGGAUCUCUCUGCCUGAUUGACUCUUUCCUUCUUCCUAGGACUUCAACUAAUUUCGUUACCGGAAUAUCAAGACACCUCCUGAAGUACACUGGCCAACCUAACUGAAAAUCUUGAAAUCUAUUUGCAUCCAACUUUUAUAGAGGAGAAGUACUGAAGCGCCCUUUUUAUUCUUAGUUUCCGUAAUCUUUGACCAGCCACCAUUUUAUGUAAGGAGGAAAAUAAACUUGUACCGAAAACUAAUCGUAGUGAUAAGACACUCUACACGAAAACCCACUGGAGCCUUGGUCAUCUUUGCCUAAUCGCCAGCGUGUCAGAAUCACUUGUUUGACUGAAGUAAUCAUGUCGUGGUUCAGUUCUCGACAACGAAGCUACAGCCUGUGAUGUGCC